Molecule: ribosomal RNA, 405 nt
Filed under: uncultured bacterium
Lineage: Bacteria
Description: bacterial SSU rRNA
Rfam family: Bacterial small subunit ribosomal RNA
Source: RNAcentral
GAUGAACGCUAGCGGCAGGCUUAACACAUGCAAGUCGGAGGGGCAGCGCGAUGUAGCAAUACAUUGGCGGCGACCGGCGCACGGGUGCGGUAACACGUAUGGGAACUUACCCUUUACUGGGACGAUAGCCCGGAGAAAUCCGGGAUUAAUAUCCCAUAAUAAACGAAGUGGCAUCACUUUGUUUUGAAAGCUCCGGCGGUAAAGGAUGGCCAUGCGCACGAUUAGCUAGUAGGUGAGGUAACGGCUCACCUAGGCUACGAUCGUUAGGGGGCCUGAGAGGGGUUAUCCCCCACACUGGGUACUGAGACACGGGACCAGACUCCUACGGGAGGCAGCAGUGAGGAAUAUUGCGCAAUGGAGGCAACUCUGACGCAGCCAUGCCGCGUGCAGGAAGAAGGUCGCUAC